AAGAAGCAUCCAACAGCAUCAGUGCGCUAGCCGAUAACCCAAGACAACCUUACCAUUUUGCUUGACAUCCCGGAACCAUGGACAUCAAAGGCCUGAUCAGUGCAUCAGUGUCAGCUUGCUUUUUCUUCAAUUCCCCUUCUUGCUUAACCCUCGCUGUUUCUGAUUCCUCGAAUUUCUUCAUCAUUUCUUCCAUUUGUUGUUGUUGAGUCUUGAUAACCUCCCUAAGAUCACUUGAUGUUUGUUUCUCCACCACCAGUUCCUCUUCUAGGUCGCUCUCACUGACACAAGUACCUUUGCUUCUGAGCCCCACAUUUACAAGAAAUAUGUUCUUCUUAGUUUUCUGAACAAGAGCCUUAUAGAC
Molecule: long non-coding RNA, 361 nt
Filed under: Setaria viridis
Lineage: Eukaryota; Viridiplantae; Streptophyta; Magnoliopsida; Poales; Poaceae
Description: long non-coding RNA (SVIR_LNC006730)
Source: RNAcentral